RNAcentral lists this non-coding RNA (26 nucleotides) under Cricetulus griseus (Chinese hamster). Lineage: Eukaryota; Metazoa; Chordata; Mammalia; Rodentia; Cricetidae. The record is from RNAcentral.
AAUGUGGAACUGAGGAAAGCGAAGAA